RNAcentral lists this ribosomal RNA (1219 nucleotides) under metagenome. Its description in RNAcentral is "bacterial LSU rRNA". It matches the Rfam family "Bacterial large subunit ribosomal RNA", at positions 1710 to 2925 of the family's 2925-position model. The record is from RNAcentral.
AAACUCGGCAAACUCACACCGUAACUUCGGGAGAAGGUGUGCCGUCGGGAGUGUAGGAGCUUGCCUCCGAAGCACUCGGCGGUCGCAGUGAAAAGUCCCAGGCGACUGUUUACUAAAAACACAGGACUCUGCAAAGUCAAAAACGACGUAUAGGGUCUGACGCCUGCCCGGUGCCGGAAGGUUAAGAGGAGGGGUCAGCUUUCGGGCGAAGCUCUGAAUCGAAGCCCCGGUAAACGGCGGCCGUAACAAUAACGGUCCUAAGGUAGCGAAAUUCCUUGUCGGGUAAGUUCCGACCUGCACGAAUGGCGUAACGAUCUGGGAGCUGUCUCCACAGGGGGCUCAGCGAAUCUGUAGCACCGGUGAAGAUGCCGGUUACCCGUACGUAGACGGAAAGACCCUGUGCACCUUUACUGCACCCUGGCAGUGAACCCCGGUGCGCUAUGUGUAGGAUAGGUGGGAGGCUGUGAAGUCGGAGCGCUAGCUUCGGUGGAGCCAACGGUGAAAUACCACCCUUAGCGUACUGGAGUUCUAACUGAGGUCCGUGAUCCGGAUCCAGGACAUUGUCAGGCGGGUAGUUUGACUGGGGCGGUCGCCUCCCAAAUUGUAACGGAGGCGCGCGAAGGUUCCCUCAGGCUGAUUGGAAACCAGCCGCAGAGCGCAAAGGCAUAAGGGAGCUUGACUGCGAGACCCACAAGUCGAGCAGGUACGAAAGUAGGCCUUAGUGAUCCGGUGGUCCCGCAUGGAAGGGCCAUCGCUCAACGGAUAAAAGGUACGCCGGGGAUAACAGGCUGAUCUCCGCCAAGAGUCCACAUCGACGCGGAGGUUUGGCACCUCGAUGUCGGCUCAUCACAUCCUGGGGCUGAAGCCGGUCCCAAGGGUUCGGCUGUUCGCCGAUUAAAGUGGUACGUGAGCUGGGUUUAGAACGUCGCGAGACAGUUCGGUCCCUAUCUCGUGUGGGCGUAGGAGACUUGAGAGGAUUUGUCCCUAGUACGAGAGGACCGGGAUGGACGAACCUCUAGUGCACCAGUUGUCGCGCCAGCGGCAUCGCUGGGUAGCUAAGUUCGGAAAGGAUAACCGCUGAAAGCAUCUAAGCGGGAAGCCCCCCUCAAGAUAAGGUCUCCCUGAAGGCCCCUGGAAGAUGACCAGGUUGAUAGGCAGGAGGUGUAAGCGCUGCGAGGCGUUGAGCUGACCUGUACUAAUCGGCCGAUUGGCUUGACCG